UAUUAAUAAAAGUUCUAUAUAAAACGGAGUGAUAAAGGAGAUUCAUACUUUUAUUUCUCACACGUGCUGAAUUCUACCUUUUCAUCUCGAAUCACGCAGGUGGAGGGUCUACACCACCUGAAUUAAUGAACCUCCUCACGGGUCGACACACGGAUCCAUCCACGUCGCCAUGAACAAGACGUCUGCUUCCCGAAUAGAAAAGCCACUGUCCACACCAAUGCAAAGGCAUCCACCGCCUUGAAAGUUGAGGAGACGUUCUGAAGCCUUCAAGGAAAGGCCUCCGUCAAGGUGAAGGAGAUGAGAUGGGGUACCAGUUGAGACGAGAGUGAAUUUCCACCGCUCACCCACCUGUGCCCAGGUUUGGACGGGAGGUGGCAUCCUGCAGCGCUCUGGCCCUGGAGAGCCACGUCCUCAGAAGAUCUGGAAGCAGGUUCAGCGAGAGAAGCUCCGGAGGAAGCAGGUCGCACACCUUUCCCAAGUCUUCCGGGGAUAGAAGCCAGGCACCGAUAAUAACCGUGCAAACAAGUUGAUGCUGCUAUUUUUAAAUAAGCUGUUAUUAUUGACUAA
This 567-nucleotide long non-coding RNA is filed under the name Sus scrofa (pig). RNAcentral describes it as "lncRNA (ENSSSCG00070012014.1)". Lineage: Eukaryota; Metazoa; Chordata; Mammalia; Artiodactyla; Suidae. The record is from RNAcentral.